UACGGAAGGCAGCAGUGGGGAAUAUUGGACAAUGGGCGCAAGCCUGAUCCAGCCAUGCCGCGUGUGUGAAGAAGGCCUUUUUGGUUGUAAAGCACUUUAAGCGAGGAGGAGGCUCUCUUAGUUAAUACCUAAGAUGAGUGGACGUUACUCGCAGAAUAAGCACCGGCUAACUCUGUGCCAGCAGCCGCGGUAAUACAGAGGGUGCGAGCGUUAAUCGGAUUUUACUGGGCGUAAAGCGUGCGUAGGCGGCUUUUUUAAGUCGGAUGUGAAAUCCCCGAGCUUAACUUGGGAAUUGCAUUCGAUACUGGGAAGCUAGAGUAUGGGAGAGGAUGGUAGAAUUCCAGGUGUAGCGGUGAAAUGCGUAGAGAUCUGGAGGAAUACCGAUGGGCGAAGGCAGCCAUCUGGGCCUAAUACUGACGCUGAGGUCGAAAGCAUGGGGAGCAAACAGGGAUUAGAUACCCGU
Molecule: ribosomal RNA, 463 nt
Filed under: uncultured bacterium
Lineage: Bacteria
Description: bacterial SSU rRNA
Rfam family: Bacterial small subunit ribosomal RNA
Source: RNAcentral